This 24-nucleotide non-coding RNA is filed under the name Arabidopsis thaliana (thale cress). Lineage: Eukaryota; Viridiplantae; Streptophyta; Magnoliopsida; Brassicales; Brassicaceae. RNAcentral also lists the same sequence under 1 other name. The record is from RNAcentral.
GGGUCGAUGCCCGAGCGGUUAAUG